Molecule: long non-coding RNA, 573 nt
Organism: Mytilus californianus (California mussel)
Lineage: Eukaryota; Metazoa; Mollusca; Bivalvia; Mytilida; Mytilidae
Exons: 2
Source: RefSeq, a predicted model, not a curated record
AUUUAGUACUAACUAAUGUCCUGCCAUGACACACAACGUGUUUGUUUUUGGUACUCUCAAAAGAGGUCAACCAAACUUUUACUUACUGGAGGAUGCAAGCAACGGUUUGGCAGUAUACCUGGCUGAUGGGAUUACGGAAGAAAAGUUUCCCGUUGUUAUAGCGAGCAGGUGUAACAUUCCAUUCAUGUUACCUGUGGCAGGUAAAGGCAAGAAUGUUGUCGGUGAAAUCUAUGAAGUGGAUGAUAGCAUGUUAAACUGUUUAGAUAUCUUAGAGAGAAAAGCAGAAAUUCUUGACAGACGUAAAAUAAAUGUCGUAUCCAAUGGACGUGCUAUAACAUGCUGGUGUUACCAUCUGGUUAACCACAAAAAAGAGCUACAAGAAUUACCAACAAUCGAUAACUAUGACACGAAUGGUUCACACGGCCUCCCUUAUAUUCCCAAAUCUUUAGAAACAUGUGACAAUUUCAGUGAUGUACAAAUACAAAACAAACAGGAUGAUAAAUAAAAACAAUGAUGAUCACUAUCAUUAUAUAUAUAGAUGACAAUAGAUGACAAGUAAAUGCAAACAUCCAG